UAUUUGACAAAAUUGGUGCCAGCAGUCGCGGUCAUACCAGUAAAUAAAAUAAAAAAUUUAGAAUACUUUUUAAUAAAAAUUAUAUUAUAUAGUAAAAUAUUAAUAGAAUUAAUACCUAAAAAUUUUAAUAGUAAAAUUCUGAUAUAAAACCAGGAUUAGAUACCCUGUUAUUAAAGAAUAUAAAAACAAAAUUCUAAGCACUAAAAUUUUUAUAAUUAAAACUUAAAAAUUAUGGCGGUAAACAUAAAUUUCAGGGGAACUUACCAGGUAAUUGAUAACCCACAAGUUACUCAACUUUAUUUUAUAGUUUAUAUAUUGUCGUGUAUGUUUUACUUAAAGUAAAACAUAUUAGGGAAAACCACAGAUCAUAAUAUAGCAAAUAAUUAAGUCUUAAGGUGAGUUACAAUAUUUUUUUUCGGAAAAUUCUAUAAAAAAGGAAUUUGAAGAUGGACUUGAAAGUAAUUAUAAAUAAUAAAUUUUGAAUUUUAAUAUGUUUGUGCACAAAUCGCCCGUCACUCUUUCUUUUUUAAGAAAGAAAAGUCGUAACAUAGUAGAUGUAGCGGAAGCUGUAUCUU
RNAcentral lists this ribosomal RNA (575 nucleotides) under Gyraulus sp. GE1. RNAcentral describes it as "12S ribosomal RNA". Lineage: Eukaryota; Metazoa; Mollusca; Gastropoda; Planorbidae. The record is from RNAcentral.